This is a non-coding RNA of Acanthosepion pharaonis, 110 nucleotides long. NCBI's taxonomy places the organism in Eukaryota, Metazoa, Mollusca, Cephalopoda, Sepiida, Sepiidae. The record is from the annotation of a GenBank genome assembly.
ACAACCAUGCCACAUUGAAACACCAGUUCUCAUUCGAUCACCAAAGUUAAAUAACAUUGAGCCUGAUCAAUACCUGGAUGUGUGACUGUUUGAGAAUACCAUGUACUGCA